CUGUCUUGUUACGUUGGUUCUCUGAGCAAAUGCACAGCAAUGGCCUUUCCGAGUGAGCUGCUCCUUUAAGAUGACUACUCCUUGGUUAACUUUAAGAUCUACUCCAGUAUCCUGAGCAGAUCUUAAGUCGGUCAUGGGCCCGCUUCAGUAGCAAAGCCUGCAGAUCAAAGGAAAAUGGCUCUUAAAACUUGUACCUCCUGGUCCCCAAACCAAGAGAACGGGUCUGUUCUUCUGAUCAGGAAAAUGAACUGAUGAAGCCUAACCAGGGGAGACAGGUGUCAUGUUCCCUGUCACUCCUGAGUCACACAUCCAGACCCUCCAUUUUGAGAGUGUUGGGCUUACGGGAAGCGGAGCACAUGCUCUGGGCUUCAAGCUGCCUGUCUGAAGGCUCCAGGACGCUGACUCUUGGAUGAGGUCUGGCCUCAGGUCACCCUUGGCUUCUGCCUGAUGCUGUCUGUGAGUGAGGAGCAAGCCUUUACCAGAUCCUAGUGGGUGCUACCUGGUCCUCAGACAAGCAGUCCCAUAAGUAAAACUACCCACUGGGCCAAUGGCACAUCUGUCCUGUGUUGCUGUAGUGAGCGGAGCUUUAGGGGGCCGCCUGCCAGCCUUGCCCACCCGCCUGCCUGCCGCAUGUGUAUCCUCACACCACACCGCUCGCUCCAAAUGAGCGCUCCCUCUUCCAUUGCCCUUCACCAGCCCCAGGAUGAUGGGAUGAGGCAGUUACUAGAAGGGCAGGAAGCUUGAAGCUCUUGCAGCUGAAAAGGUUCCUGCCCAGCCUGUGCCUCACCAGGCAGAACCAGUCAGAGGCGGGUCCAGACUUACAUUUGGAAACUUAACUCCUCAGAGCUUCUGCCCGCGGUUGGGGGAUUUUACACCUGCUCAUUCAAAGGUGAGAACCGCCCGCCCCACGAGGACUCACACCCUUGCACCCCAGUACUAAGCAGCCUCGGAGCAUGGUGGGAGUCUCCAUUGCUGGGUUUCUGCUUCGAUUUCCUUUUUCCUGUAGAGAAACGUCAAAGCUGAGAAAGAUGGCUUCCCUCCCUGACCUGACUGUAAAUAAUGUACUUAGACUGUUUUUAAAUGUGUUUCUUCACGAAGGCUUCGUUUGGCUGAGGGAGCCUAUAUCACUCGUGUAAGUUGGUAUUUGGGCACUUUAUAUUUUUCUAAAAAUGUGUUUUGGAUCCUGUACUCUAAUAAAUCAUAAGUUUCUUUUUAAAAAUUUUUCCAAAAGUUUUCUCCAUUUUCAAAAACCCUGUUAUAAAAAGUAGAACUUUCACAAUGUUAAAAUACUAAAUAUUUGGUUAUAGCAACUUCUCUUCUAAUGAAUGCCAAGGGUCUUUUUUUUUUCUUUUCUUUUCUUUUUCUUUUUCUUUUGUACAACAAUUAAUAAACGAACUUGCCGAG
RNAcentral lists this long non-coding RNA (1404 nucleotides) under Mus musculus (house mouse). Its description in RNAcentral is "long non-coding RNA chr5:118008789-118010193". Lineage: Eukaryota; Metazoa; Chordata; Mammalia; Rodentia; Muridae. The record is from RNAcentral.